RNAcentral lists this ribosomal RNA (253 nucleotides) under uncultured bacterium. RNAcentral describes it as "partial 16S ribosomal RNA". It matches the Rfam family "Bacterial small subunit ribosomal RNA", at positions 524 to 776 of the family's 1533-position model. The record is from RNAcentral.
UACGUAGGGUGCGAGCGUUGUCCGGAAUUACUGGGCGUAAAGAGCUCGUAGGUGGUUUGUCGCGUUGUUCGUGAAAACUCACAGCUCAACUGUGGGCGUGCGGGCGAUACGGGCUGGCUGGAGGCAGGCAGGGGAGAACGGAAUUCCCGGUGUAGCGGUGAAAUGCGCAGAUAUCGGGAGGAACACCGGUGGCGAAGGCGGUUCUCUGGGCCUGUACUGACGCUGAGGAGCGAAAGCGUGGGGAGCGAACAGG